RNAcentral lists this ribosomal RNA (253 nucleotides) under uncultured bacterium. RNAcentral's name for it is "partial 16S ribosomal RNA". It matches the Rfam family "Bacterial small subunit ribosomal RNA", at positions 524 to 776 of the family's 1533-position model. The record is from RNAcentral.
UACGUAGGGGGCUAGCGUUGUCCGGAAUCAUUGGGCGUAAAGCGCGCGUAGGCGGCCCGGUAAGUCCGUUGUAAAAGUCAAAGGCUCAACCUUUGAAAGCCGAUGGAUACUGUCGGGCUAGAGUCCGGAAGAGGCGAGUAGAAUUCCUGGUGUAGCGGUGGAAUGCGCAGAUAUCAGGAGGAAUACCCAUAGCGAAGGCAGCUCGCUGGGACGGUACUGACGCUGAGGCGCGAAAGCGUGGGGAGCGAACAGG